Molecule: ribosomal RNA, 445 nt
Filed under: uncultured bacterium
Lineage: Bacteria
Description: partial 16S ribosomal RNA
Rfam family: Bacterial small subunit ribosomal RNA
Source: RNAcentral
GUGGGGAAUAUUGGUCAAUGGGCGGGAGCCUGAACCAGCCAAGUCGCGUGAAGGAAGAAGGAUCUAUGGUUCGUAAACUUCUUUUGCAGGGGAAUAAAGUGCAGGACGUGUCCUGUUUUGUAUGUACCCUGAGAAUAAGGAUCGGCUAACUCCGUGCCAGCAGCCGCGGUAAUACGGAGGAUCCGAGCGUUAUCCGGAUUUAUUGGGUUUAAAGGGUGCGUAGGUGGUUUGAUAAGUCAGCGGUGAAAGUUUGCAGCUUAACUGUAAAAAUGCCGUUGAAACUGUCGGACUUGAGUGUAAAUGAGGUAGGCGGAAUGCGUGGUGUAGCGGUGAAAUGCAUAGAUAUCACGCAGAACUCCGAUUGCGAAGGCAGCUUACUAAGCUACAACUGACACUGAAGCACGAAAGCGUGGGGAUCAAACAGGAUUAGAUACCCGUGUAGUCC